Triticum aestivum (bread wheat) is the source of this 134-nucleotide non-coding RNA. The record is from Rfam. NCBI's taxonomy places the organism in Eukaryota, Viridiplantae, Streptophyta, Magnoliopsida, Poales, Poaceae.
UUUGUAUUCCCUUCGUCCCAAAAUUCUUGUCUUAUAUUUGUUUAAAUACAGAUGUAUCUAACACUAAAAUGUAACUAGAUACAUCCGUAUUUAGACAAAUUUAAGACAAAAUUUUUGGGACAAAGAAGUAUUAG